GUUCGCAUUGAUGUGCCAUCCUGGAUGAACUGCACUACCUGAGCCACUUGUGUGGGUUGUAGACUCCGUCUCAUGCUACCACUAGAGUGAGAGCACCGCCAGCAUUCAAAAGUGACCAAAACAUCAGCCAGGAAGCAUAGGAACUGAGAAGUGGUCUGUGGUCACCACCUGCAGAAUCACUCCUGUUUUGGGGGGUGUCUUGCUAAUUGCCUAUAAUUUCCACCUUUUGUCUAUUCCAUUUGCACAACAGCAUGUGAAAUUUAUUGUCAAUCAGUGUUGCUUCCUAAGUGGACAGUUUGAUUUCACAGAAGUGUGAUUGACUUGGAGUUACAUUGUGUUGUUUAAGUGUUCCCUUUAUUUUUUUGAGCAGUGUUUUUUGUGUAUGUAAUGUAAGUGCCUUAAUGUGUUUGACCCCAGGAAGAAUAGCUGCUGCCUUGGGGGUCCCUAAUAAAUACAAAUAAUCAUCGCUAAAACAAAAGCAAUUUAGAUCAAAAUAGUUAAUAUUAACAAAAGAACUAGAAGGUCAAACAGUGCAAAUAGAUAGCAAUAAAAACGGUACCAUAGAGGCCCAUAAUAAGUUAGAGGUAAAACUAAAAUAAAUGAAGGAUCUUAUUCAAGGAAGACAAAGGUUAAUAUAUUUUAACAAUAAAGUGAACUAGAUGGACUAUGGGAAAAAAUGCACCAAACUAUUUUUUAAUCUUAAGCAUAGAAAUGCUACCAAAAAGGUUUAGCUGAAACUUUUUACAAAUGACAGUCACCCAUGAUUCACCAAACAAUAUUUUGAAAGAGGACGCAAAGUACUUUAAGCAUAUGUUUUUGUUUCAGUCUCCUCCAUCUCCACUAACCAAAGUUAAUUCUAUGGAUUUUUUUAUUUUAAUCAUGUAGAAUUAACAGCUGUACAGAAUGACUCAUGUGAAAGCAAAAUUACAGAGGAGGAACUUUUUAAUGCAAUUAAAGCCUUUAAGGCUGGGAUGAAUGGCAUACCAGUUUUUGAUGUACUCAGAGAACCGUUAUUAGCAUAUUUUAACCAAUCCUAUAAAAAUGGUAGAUUAUCAGAUACUCAACAAGAAGGUCUGAUUUCAUUACUACUGAAACAGGAUCCAAGUGGUAAAUAAACUCAGCAAAAAAAGAAACGUCCUCUUACUGUCAACUGCGUUUAUUUUCAGCAAACUGAACAUGUGUAAAUAUUUGUAUGAACAUAACAAGAUCCAACAACUGAGACAUAAACUGAACAAGUUCCACAGACAUGUGACUAACAGAAAUGGAAUAAUGUGUCCCUGAACAAAGGGAGGGUCCAAAUCUAAAGUAACAGUCAGUAUCGGGUGUGGCCACCAGCUGCAUUAAGUACUGCAGUGCAUCUCCUCAUGGACUGUACCAGAUUUGCCAGUGCUUGCUGUGAGAUGUUACCCCACUCUUCCACCAAGGCACCUGCAAGUUCCCGGACAUUUAUGGGGGAAUGGCACUAGCCCUCACCCUCAGAUCCAACAGGUCCCAGACGUGCUCAAUGGGAUUGAGAUCCGGGCUCUUCGCUGGCCAUGGCAGAACACUGACAUUCCUGUCUUGCAGGCAAUCAUGCACAGAACAUGCAGUAUGGCUGGUGGCAUUGUCAUGCUGGAGGGUCAUGUCAGGAUGUGCCUGCAGGAAGGGUACCACAUGAGGAGGAUGUCUUCCCUGUAACUCAGCGUGGAGAUUGCCUGCAAUGACAACAAGCUCAGUCCGAUGAUGCUGUGACACACCACCCCAGACCAUGACGGACCCUCCACCUCCAAAUCGAUCCCGCUCCAGAAUACAGUCCUCAGUGUAACGUUCAUUCCUUCGACGAUAAACGCGAAUCCAACCAUCACCUGGUGAGACAAAACCGCCACUCGUCAGUGAAGAGCACUUUUUUGCCAGUCCUGUCUGGUUCAGCGACGGUAGGUUAGUGCCCAUCGGCGACGUUGUUGCCGGUGAUGUCUAGUGAGGACCUGCCUUACAACAGGCCUACAAGCCCUCUGUCCAGCCUCUCUCAGCCUAUUGCGGACAGUGUGUUCCUGGUGUAACUAGGGCAGUUGUUGUUGCCAUCCUGUACCUGUCCCGCAGGUGUGAUGUUCGGAUGUACCGAUCCUGUGCAGGUGUUGUUUCACAUGGUCUGCCACUGCGAGGACGAUCAGCUGUCCGUCCUGUCUCCCUGUAGCGCUGUCUUAGGCGUCUCACAGUACGGACAUUUGCUGUCCUCAAGUCUCCUUACAGCAUGCCUAAGGCACGUUUACGCAAAUGAGCAGGGGCAUCUUUCUUUUGGGUUUUUUCAGAGUCAGUAGAAAGGCCUCUUUAGUGUCCUACGUUUUCAUAACUGUGACCUUAAUUGCCUACCAUCUGUAAGCUGUUAGUGUCUUAACGACCGUUCCACAGGUGCAUGUUCAUUAAUUAUUUAUGGUUCAUUGAACAAGCAUGGGAAACAGUGUUUAAACCCUUUACAAUGAAGAUCUGUGAAGUUAUAUAGAUUUUUAUGAAUUAUCAUUGAAAGACAGGUUCCUGAAAAAGGGAUGUUUAUUUUUUUGCUGAGUUUAUAAAGAUAAAAAUUGUAGGCCCUUUACACUUCAGUGUUGUAAUGCAAACAUUUGGGCAAAAUGCAUAGCGCAUAGAAUGAAAAGGUAUUGUUGAAUAUUAUUCAUCCUAAUCAGACAGUUGUUUUACCUGGACAAUACAUUGGAAAUAAUAUAAGACAAGUACUGGAAACAAUAGAACACUAUGAAAAAUCUGGGAAACCAGGCCUGGUAUUCAUAACUGACUUUGAAAAGGCUUUUGAUAAAGUAUGACUGGAAUUUAUUUAUAAAUGCCUGGAAUAUUUCAAUUUUGGAGAAUCUCUUAUACAAUGAGUUAAAGUUAUGUAUACUGUAGUAACCCUAGGUGUAAAAUAUUAAAUAAUGGUUACUUCUCAGAAAGUAUUACACUGUCGAGAGGAGUAAAAUAAGGUUGUCCACUAUCGGCAAAUCUAUUUGUUAUGACCUUCCAAAUGUUAGCCGUUAAAGAUCUAACUAUAAUAUCAAGAGUCUAGAAACCCAGCGCCUAAAAACAAGGUGUCAUUAUAUGCUGAUGAUUCAUGUUUUCUUUCAAAUCCACAAUUUGGAUCCUCCCAUAGCCUCAGAGGAUCUAGAUACUUUUUCUAACGUCUCUGGAUUACAACCAAAUUAUGGUGAAUGUACUAUAUUACGUAUUGGAUUUUAAAAAGUACAACUUUUACAUUGACGUGUAGUUUACCAAUCAAACGGUCUGACGGUAAUGUGGAUAUACUCGGUAUUCAUACCCCGAAAGAAAGAAAUUAUCUGACUACAAUACAUUUUAACAGAAAGUUGGCAAAAAUAGAUGAGGUCUUGCUACCAUGGAGAGGAAAAUACCCAUAUAUUUGUGGAAAAAUCACCCUGAUUAACUCUUUAGUCACAUCCCAGUUUACCUAUUUGCUUAUGGCCUUGCCUACGCCAAAAAAUAUAGAAUUUUAUUUGGAACGGCAAGCCAGACAAAAUUAAACUGGCCUAUUCAUAUAAUAAAUAAUUUCUGCUCUUUAAUUGCUUGUUACUUUUAUUUCUUAUUCUUAUUCAUAUUUUUUACAACUGCAUUGUUGGUUAGGGGCUCGUAAGUAAGCAUUUCACUGUAAGGUCUACACCUGUUGUAUUCAGCAUUUCACUGUAAGGUCUACACCUGUUGUAUUCAGCAUUUCACUGUAAGGUCUACACCUGUUGUAUUCAGCAUUUCACUGUAAGGUCUACACCUGUUGUAUUCAGCAUUUCACUGUAAGGUCUACACCUGUUGUAUUCAGCAUUUCACUGUAAGGUCUACACCUGUUGUAUUCAGCAUUUCACUGUAAGGUCUACACCUGUUGUAUUCAGCAUUUCACUGUAAGGUCUACACCUGUUGUAUUCAGCAUUUCACUGUAAGGUCUACACCUGUUGUAUUCAGCAUUUCACUGUAAAGUCUACACCUGUUGUAUUCAGCAUUUCACUGUAAGGUCUACACCUGUUGUAUUCAGCAUUUCACUGUAAGGUCUACACCUGUUGUAUUCAGCAUUUCACUGUAAGGUCUACACCUGUUGUAUUCAGCAUUUCACUGUAAGGUCUACACCUGUUGUAUUCAGCAUUUCACUGUAAGGUCUACACCUGUUGUAUUCAGCAUUUCACUGUAAGGUCUACACCUGUUGUAUUCAGCAUUUCACUGUAAGGUCUACACCUGUUGUAUUCAGCAUUUCACUGUAAGGUCUACACCUGUUGUAUUCAGCAUUUCACUGUAAGGUCUACACCUGUUGUAUUCAGCAUUUCACUGUAAAGUCUACACCUGUUGUAUUCAGCAUUUCACUGUAAGGUCUACACCUGUUGUAUUCAGCAUUUCACUGUAAGGUCUACACCUGUUGUAUUCAGCAUUUCACUGUAAGGUCUACACCUGUUGUAUUCAGCAUUUCACUGUAAGGUCUACACCUGUUGUAUUCAGCAUUUCACUGUAAGGUCUACACCUGUUGUAUUCAGCAUUUCACUGUAAGGUCUACACCUGUUGUAUUCAGCAUUUCACUGUAAGGUCUACACCUGUUGUAUUCAGCAUUUCACUGUAAAGUCUACACCUGUUGUAUUCAGCAUUUCACUGUAAGGUCUACACCUGUUGUAUUCAGCAUUUCACUGUAAGGUCUACACCUGUUGUAUUCAGCAUUUCACUGUAAGGUCUACACCUGUUGUAUUCAGCAUUUCACUGUAAGGUCUACUACACCUGUUGUAUUCAGCAUGUCACUAAGGUCUACACCUGUUGUAUUCAGCAUUUCACUGUAAAGUCUACACCUGUUGUAUUCAGCAUUUCACUGUAAAGUCGACACCUGUUGUAUUCAGCAUUUCACUGUAAGGUCUACACCUGUUGUAUUCAGCAUUUCACUGUAAGGUCUACACCUGUUGUAUUCGGCGCAUGUGACUGAUACAAUUUGAUUUGAUUUGAAUUCAGAGGGCAGAAAUUAUUAAAUGUUAAGCAUUAGACCUCUCACGAAAUAUGUCAGUCAUACAAAAGUUAAACUUAAAUCCAAACUGGUUCUCUAACAGGUUAUUAAGAAUGUCUCACCCCUUUUUCAAGAAUGGCUUUUUUCCCCAUUAUUUAGAUUACCCCCUCUCACUUUGUUUAACCAAUGUACAAAAUACCACUAUUUUUUAAAACAAGCCAUAGAAUGUUGGUUGCAAUUUCAGUUUAAUCCACCAAAAAAGACAAAACAAAUAAUAGAACAAAUAUUAGUGAAAUUCAAAAAUACUAAUUGAUAAAAAAAAAUAUAUAUAAUCUUUGUAAAUUAUAUCAUAAAUAGGACUGGUGGAGGAGUUGUCACACAUGCUGCUAACAAAAAUAUAUGGAAAUAUCUGCUCUACCAAAAUUACCACCAACUCAUUGCAGCAUUACCGCAAAAAUGGAAAAGGCAAGUGGAAGAGGGAAAAAGUAAGGAACUUGUCUGUCGACCCUGCAUUAAAGAUCUAAAUUGGUUAAAGAAAAUUGUGAUGAAUAAAAAAGUAUACCAGUUUCAAUUAAGGACUAAAAAUUCACAGCUGUGCCAUCUAGUUUGUAAAAUAGUUGGGAAUGGAUUUUCGAUGUACAAGUUCCAUGGCACAUGAUUUAUGAGCUGAUACACAAAAUGAAGCCAGAUUCAGCUCUACAGACUUUUCUGCAAAGAGACAGAAUCAUUAGAAUUUGUUUUGGUACUGUCCAUAUGUAGCUUGUUUUUGGUCGCAGGUUCAGGUAUGGCUGAAGAAUUGCAACAUUUACCUGGAGCUAACUAGCAAAUAGCACUGCUGGGUGAUUUGAAAAGUCCUAGUCAAUCGAUCAAUAGUAUAAUAAUACUUUUAGCAAAAAGGUUUAUCUUUAAUUUAAAAUCUGUAGAAACUAUGAGAACAGAAAGGUUCAGAACUUUUGUGAAACCUCACAGCAAAGUUGAAAAAUAUAUGGCAAAUAGAAAUCAAAACUGGAUGGUCUUUAGAGAUAGAUGGAAGGGGUUGAGUGUAGCUGAAGGAUGGGACUUCAAAAGAUAACUAAUGUAAAAUAUAGUGUGUCCGUAAAAUGUAUAUAGUAUGUACUGUAUAAGCUGGAAGUAGAAGCCUAAGUGUUGUACAUUUACUCCAAUUAGGGGAGGGGUAGUAGGGUUAGGGGAACAUAAUACAGGAAAAUGUAUAUAAACCUUCUUGUGCAUGUGCAGCAUCUCCUCUCCACGACCCCACACAUAUGACUCAAGUUCACAGACAAAAUAAAAACAAUUUUAGACAAAAGAAACAUUUGUUGAAAGCAUUGUUUACUAAUGGGGAAUGCAGUCAGAGUGUAACGUUCGUCUGGUGGUGUAUGAACGGACCAAGGCGCAGCGGGUGAUGAAUACAUAACUAUUUAUUUCAAAACAGACGAAACACUGACAAAACACUAGAACAAACUACAAAACAAUAAACGAAGUCAACAGACCUGAAACAACCGAACUUACAUAUAGACGAAGGACGCAAGAACAGGAACAGACUACCUAAAACGAACAAACGAAACAGUCCCAUGUGGAUUACACAGACACAGGAACAAUCACCCACAAACAAACAGUGAGAACACCCUACCUUAAUAUGACUCUCAAUUAGAGGAAAACGCAAAACACCUGCCUCUAAUCAAGAGCCAUACCAGACAACCCAAAACCAACAUAGAAACGGAAAACAUAGACUGCCCACCCAAAACUCACGCCCUGACCAUCACACACAUAAAAAACACCAGAAAACAGGUCAGGAACGUGACACAGAGGCUGUAAAGGUGCAGUAGCUGAUCAUCUCCCUAGUUCUCUCUUUGCUGAAUCUAUGAGUUCACGAUUCAGUGCCCAGCAGGUCAUAGAUCUGAUUUCUACAGAUGUCCAGGAGGAACAAGAGAACAAUGAUUUAGAAGAGGAGGAGGUAUCUGAAGAAGAAGAUGGGGAAGAAUACAACCCAGAGCAUGAUGCAUCAUCUCCAGAUGAAGAAGAAAUCGCCCAAACUGAAAGAGAGACAUUUUUGUCAAAGAAAAGCAAAAUAACAUGGUCCUUGUCACCAUAUGACAACCAGGGCAGGAUGGCAGCACAAAAUGUCAUAAGGAUAACCCCAAGGCCCACAAGACAUGCAGUUGCCCACGCCCAGGACAUCGCCUCAACAUUCUACAUGUUCAUCACACCAGCCAUCGGAAAAAUCAUCCUGGAAAUGACAAAUUUGGAGGGUUUCCGUAAAUAUGGAGACAACUGGAAAAGGAUGGAUGAGAUUGACCUGCGUGCCUACAUAUGGCUGCUAAUCUUAGCGGGUGUGUAUAGGUCCCGAGGUGAGGCUACAUGUAGUCUCUGGGAUGCUGAGAGUGGAAGGGUGAUUUUCAGUGUCAUGAUGCCACUGAAAGUCUUUCACACUUUCUCAAGAAUGCUAUGAUUUGAUAACCCUGAGUCAAGACCUGCAAGACGUGUGAGAGACAAACUGGCGGCCAUAAGAAAGGUCUGGGAGAAGUGGGUGGAGCGUCUGCCAUACCUCUACAACCCUGGGCCUGAAGUAACAGUGGAUGAGCAACUGGUUCCAUUCAGAGGUCGCUGUCCAUUCCAGCAGUAUAUGCCCAGCAAGCCAGCAAAGUGUGGCAUCAAGAUAUGGGUGGCUUGUGACGCACAAUCCAGCUACGCUUGGAAGAUGCAAGUCUACACAGGGAAGCCGACCAGUGGAGGCCCGGAGAAGAACCAGGGGAUGCGGGUUGUGCUUGAUGUGACAGAUGGACUGAGGGGGCACAAUGUCACGUGUGACAAUUUCUUCAACUCUCAUGAACUCAACCAGCAGCACCUGAAGAGGAAGAUCACCAUGGUUGGCACAGUUAGAAAGAACAAGCCUGAGCACACUGCACAAAACGGCUGAGAUCAGUGAUUGUGAAGACAGGAAGCCAGCCAUCAUCCUGGACUACAACCACAACAAAGGAGGCGUGGACAACCUGGACAAGGUGAUUGGAACUCACAGCUGCAGGAGGAUGACUGCCCGCUGGCCCCUUGUCAUCUUCCAUAACAUCAUUUAUGUGUCCUCAUACAAUGCCUUUGUGAUAUGGAAGAAGAUCAACCCUACCUGGAAGCCUGAUAAGCGGAAACAAGAGGAGGAUGUUCCUGGAGCAGCUGGGAAAGGCACUUGUAACCCCACAUAUUCAAAGAAGGGAGCACCUCCUCUGCACAGCAGCCUCUGCCGCGCUUGUGAAAGCUGUUCAUGGGGCUGAAUCUUGUCCUGAUCCACCUGAGGCUACAGCUGCGACAGGCACGUGGAGGAGAUGCCAAUUCUGCACCCCAAAAAAGGACUGUAAAACAAAUACUAUGUGCUGCACAUGUGAGAAAUACAUCUGCAAAGUCCAUGCACACACACUUGCAUACUGUCCUACAUGUGCUAAUUAGAGUUGAUUGAUUCAUGUUCUUCACGUUUUUGUUUUGUAUCUAUUAUCUUAUUUUAUUCAUUGUUGUUGUUUAUACACCUUGUGGGAGGGGGAAAUGGUUUAAAAAAUGGGAGAAGACUAUGAUUUUGUAGUUGAAUUCCUCAUUGUACAGUAUAUAAGAAUACAUCACUAUGUUGCCAAAAAAGUUCAAGACUUAUUGUUUCCCUUCAAUAAAAUGCAUUCAAA
Salvelinus fontinalis (brook trout) is the source of this 8604-nucleotide long non-coding RNA. RefSeq lists it as uncharacterized. The transcript is spliced from 2 exons. Lineage: Eukaryota; Metazoa; Chordata; Actinopteri; Salmoniformes; Salmonidae. The record is from RefSeq and is a predicted model, not a curated record.